Long non-coding RNA from Meriones unguiculatus (Mongolian gerbil), 2417 nucleotides. RefSeq lists it as uncharacterized. Lineage: Eukaryota; Metazoa; Chordata; Mammalia; Rodentia; Muridae. The record is from RefSeq and is a predicted model, not a curated record. The transcript is spliced from 3 exons.
GUCCAAGCCUAGAGGCUUUCUCUUUCUGCUGCCUGCAGAAUCUGCAUUUAGAACUCUCAGUUACUUCCCUAGCACCAUGUCUGCCUGAGGGCUGCCAUCAUCCCCAUCACCUCCGAAAGGAUGUGUCGCCUCCAUGUGGGUGACCCCGGAGUCCGGAAGAGACGUUUGGGUCCCUGAGAACUGGAGUUAUAGCUGGUUGUGUCUUGUUUUCUCAUAUGAUUAUUUCGAGGUCAUUGCUGGAAGUAAGGAGACCGUGGCUAUUCAGCGGGAGCACGGAUCAUGGACUUCCACGUGGUUUCUGAUGAUAGCCUGGGGCAUGAACAUCCACAUGGCCUUGUUGAACCCGUGUUGAGCACGUGCCACGGACCUCUGCAUGGUCUCCAGUGGCAGUCUAGACCACCAACACCAUCAUGACCCUCAGGCGGCAGCAAUGACCACAGACACUGUCAUGGCCCCCAGACGGCAGUGCGAGCUAUGGCCAUCAACCCGGGACACAGACCACUCACGUUAAUAUGGUCCCCGGUAGCUUUCCAGCCCACGAACAUCAAUAUGGCUGGCUUCAGGUGGCAACACAGACCUCGGACAUCCACAUGGCCCUCAGGGGUAACUCGGAUGUCAGACAUCAACAUGGCCUACUUUGGGAGCAUAGACCAUGGACAUCUCCAUCAGCGGCAUGGCCCAUGCACAUCAGCACAGCUUCAGGCAACAGCAUAGAGCAUGGUCAUCUUCACGGCCUUCAGUGCUAACACAGAUUAUCGAACCUCAGCAUAGCACGGACUAUGGACACUAGCAUGACCUCCUGCAGGAGCACACACUACAGAUGUCACCUGGCGUCUGGAGGCAGCCUGGGCCUCAAGCAUCCACUUGGCCUCCAGCGGAAGUCCAGGCCACAGACAUUCACAUGAACUUCGGGCUUCAACGUGGGUCCGGGGCAGGAGCACGAACCAAGAUGCCAACAUGGCCUCUGGGACAGUACGAACUGUAGAGGUCUUUCAAGGAGGUCCAGUCCAGAAAAAUCAGCCUUUCUUUAUCUCAGCUAUCAGAACCACAGGAGAUCCUGAAGCUGAGUCUGCGCAUGCUCCAGGCUGCUGCACACCGCCCUGCGGGCCCCGCCCAGCAACAGGUUCCUCCCUCCUCCGCUCUUGAGUCUCUAGCUCGGCCUCUCUCUGCACUUCUCUAUCCCUCCAUCUUUCCCACCCCACCGUCGCAUAGUCAUUCGUCCUUAGUGGCAUUUACCCGAACAGCUUUACAUGCAAAUAUUUACUGCAACAAGUAGUGAGUCUGGUCCAAGCUUUCUGGUUUCUGACGCUCCGUCAAUACUAGACUGCUGACACAUACCGGAUUAGCUUGUAGUUGCCCAGAGUCAAAGUGAUGGCGGGACUGGACAGGGCAACUAGGGGCAGGUCCCAUGAGAGCUCCAAGCUGCCAGGCACCUUCCUGCCCUGGCUGUCGGCCAUGCUGAGGCUCGCGGAGCUCGACCUCUGUGUUUGUAGGCUGGAGGAAACAUCACUCUCCAUCUCCCAGAGGGGCAAGCUGCUCAGGAUGCCAGCACAGCCGCUCUGUGGUGGGGGCCGGCUGGCUGGCCGGCAUGGCACCGUCCCUGGUCAGUAGUGACAUCUGGUUCUGCAGGGCCGGCUCCUCCGCAUGCUCGGCAGCUUGCACGUGGAGAGAUGUUGGGGCAGACCGACUCAAAGCACUGGAUCUUGGCCCGGAUGGCAUCGGGGUGGGUCAGCUAUGACCCACCCCGGCCGGCCUUCUGAGGAGUGUCUCUAAUUUACUGUGGCUUUUUUUUUUUCUUUUAAAAUAAAUGACUUCUCACAAUUCCAGACAAAAAACACUUAGAAUUAGUACUAAAUACCCCAAACAUAUAUUAAUAAAACAAUAUUCAAAAGCCAACUAUUUAAGUCAAUGCAUCUUCAUUUCAUCACAUUGAAUAACAGGUUACCUUUAAUAUCUGAAAAUAGGAAAUGUGUCUUUUUCACUAACUUAAAAGUAGAUCAGAUAUCUCUCACUGAUAGUCCAUACUGGCUUUCUGUCUUAUUAGCUGAUUAUCAUUCUACUGAUUUGUCUAUCACUGGAUAAAACACCAUGACCAACUUAUUUUUAAAAAGGUGUUUCAUUGGCUUACUAUUUUUUGAGGGUUAGAGUCUAUGACGGCAAAACAAAGGCAUGGCCAUGAAAGCUCACAUUUUGAUCUCAAAGGCAAAGAGGGGCACUGGGGGUGAUGACAGUCUUCUGAAAGUACAAAGCCCCCCUUCCUCAGUGACACACUUACCAAACAGUUUUCCCAACUAGGAGCCAUUCUCAUUCAAACCACCAUAUCCUCCCAUAUGUCAGGCAUGGGCCACAGCAAUCUGGAGGCCUUGAAGAGCAAGCAUGCUCAUGAUGUGGCCAGAGCAUCUUAAGUAUGGAUAACU